UACGUAUGGUGCAAGCGUUAUCCGGAUUUACUGGGUGUAAAGGGAGCGUAGACGGUUGUGUAAGUCUGAAGUGAAAGCCCGGGGCUCAACCCCGGGACUGCUUUGGAAACUAUGCAGCUAGAGUGUCGGAGAGGUAAGUGGAAUUCCCAGUGUAGCGGUGAAAUGCGUAGAUAUUGGGAGGAACACCAGUGGCGAAGGCGGCUUACUGGACGAUGACUGACGUUGAGGCUCGAAAGCGUGGGGAGCAAACAGG
RNAcentral lists this ribosomal RNA (253 nucleotides) under Coprococcus comes ATCC 27758. Its description in RNAcentral is "partial 16S ribosomal RNA". It matches the Rfam family "Bacterial small subunit ribosomal RNA", at positions 524 to 776 of the family's 1533-position model. The record is from RNAcentral. Lineage: Bacteria; Bacillati; Bacillota; Clostridia; Lachnospirales; Lachnospiraceae.